This is a non-coding RNA of Chinchilla lanigera (long-tailed chinchilla), 471 nucleotides long. The record is from the annotation of a RefSeq genome assembly. Lineage: Eukaryota; Metazoa; Chordata; Mammalia; Rodentia; Chinchillidae.
UGUCCCAGAGCACAGCCCAGGCCCUGAGGACUUCUUCAUAGGCUGUCACACCCUGUGCAGGACUCAGUCCCAGUCAGGACACAGCAUGGACAUGAGGGUCCCCGCUCAGGUCGUGGGAAUCCUGCUGCUCUCGCUGCCAGAGACCACAUGUGACAUCCAGUUGACACAGCCUCCAUCCUUACCUGCAUCUGCAGGAGACACAGUCACCAUCUCUUGUCAGGCCAGUCAGAGUGUUAACAAAUUCUUAAACUGGUAUCAGCAGAAACCAGGGCAAGCUCCUAAACUCCUGAUCUACUAUGCAACCACUUUGCAGUCUCGGGUCCCACCCAGGUUCAGCGGGAGUGCGUCUGGGACAGAUUUCACUCUCACCAUCAGCAGCCUGCAGCCUGAAGAUGUUGCAACUUACUGCUGUCCACAGUAUCAGAGGUCCCCUCCCACAGUGAUACAAGCCAUGACAUAAACCUCCCAGGG